GUGGGGAAUAUUGGACAAUGGGCGAAAGCCUGAUCCAGCCAUGCCGCGUGUGUGAAGAAGGUCUUCGGAUUGUAAAGCACUUUAAGUUGGGAGGAAGGGCAGUAAGUUAAUACCUUGCUGUUUUGACGUUACCGACAGAAUAAGCACCGGCUAACUUCGUGCCAGCAGCCGCGGUAAUACGAAGGGUGCAAGCGUUAAUCGGAAUUACUGGGCGUAAAGCGCGCGUAGGUGGUUUUGUAAGUUGGAGGUGAAAUCCCCGGGCUCAACCUGGGAACUGCCUCCAAAACUGCAUGACUGGAGUACGGUAGAGGGUAGUGGAAUUUCCUGUGUAGCGGUGAAAUGCGUAGAUAUAGGAAGGAACACCAGUGGCGAAGGCGACUACCUGGACUGAUACUGACACUGAGGUGCGAAAGCGUGGGGAGCAAACAGGAUUAGAUACCCGUGUAGUCC
RNAcentral lists this ribosomal RNA (450 nucleotides) under uncultured bacterium. RNAcentral's name for it is "partial 16S ribosomal RNA". It matches the Rfam family "Bacterial small subunit ribosomal RNA", at positions 354 to 796 of the family's 1533-position model. The record is from RNAcentral.